UUGGAGGGCAAGUCUGGUGCCAGCAGCCGCGGUAAUUCCAGCUCCAAUAGCGUAUAUUAAAGUUGUUGCAGUUAAAAAGCUCGUAGUUGAAUUUCGGGGUUAGUAGAUUGGUCAUGCCUCAGGUAUGUACUGAUCUCACUGAUUCCUCCUUCCUGAUGAACCGUAAUGCCAUUAAUUUGGUGUUGUGGGGAAUCUGGACUGUUACUUUGAAAAAAUUAGAGUGUUUAAAGCAGGCUAACGCUUGAAUACAUUAGCAUGGAAUAAUGAAAUAGGACGUUCGAUCCUAUUUUGUUGGUUUCUAGGAUUGACGUAAUGAUUAAUAGGGAUAGUUGGGGGCAUUAGUAUUCAAUUGUCAGAGGUGAAAUUCUUGGAUUUAUUGAAGACUAACUACUGCGAAAGCAUUUGCCAAGGAUGUUUUCAUUAAUCAAGGACGAAAGUUAGGGGAUCGAAGACGAUCAGAUACCGUCGUAGUCUUAACCAUAAACUAUGCCGACUAGGGAUCGGAUGAUGUUAAUUUUUUAAUGACUCAUUCGGCGCCUUACGGGAAAC
Molecule: ribosomal RNA, 549 nt
Filed under: uncultured Glomus
Lineage: Eukaryota; Fungi; Glomeromycota; Glomeromycetes; Glomerales; Glomeraceae
Description: SSU rRNA
Rfam family: Eukaryotic small subunit ribosomal RNA
Source: RNAcentral